CCACCCAACGGGUAUCCAUAUGAGGGCACAAGGCGAGACCCAGAUGCAGACACGGGAGGCAGAUGGUUUGAGUCUUUGAUAUUUAUUAAUAAUCCAAAAACAGUAGGCGAGAGUAUAGCCGUGGUCAGGCAAAAAAGGUCAAAACCAGUUCAGAGUCCAGGAGGUACAGAGUGGCAGGCAGGCUCGAGGUCAGGGCAGGUAAAACAGGUUGGCAGGCUCGAGGUCAGGGCAGGUAAAACAGGUUGGCAGGCUCGAGGUCAGGGCAGGUAAAACAGGCUGGCAGGCUCGAGGUCAGGGCAGGUAAAACAGGUUGGCAGGCUCGAGGUCAAGGCAGGUAAAACAGGUUGGCAGGCUCGAGGUCAGGGCAGGUAAAACAGGCUGGCAGGCUCGAGGUCAGGGCAGGUAAAACAGGUUGGCAGGCUCGAGGUCAGGGCAGGUAAAACAGGUUGGCAGGCUCGAGGUCAGCGCAGGUAAAACAGGCUGGCAGGCUCGAGGUCAGGGCAGGCAGAAUGGUCAGGCAGGCUCGAGGUCAGGGCAGGCAGAAUGGUCAGGCUGGCGGGUACAGAGUCCAGAAAACAGGGUCAAGGGUCAAAACCGGGAGGACUAGAAAAAGAGAACAGAAAAGGCAGGAGCACGGGAAAACCGCUAGUGGACUUGGAAACAUACAAG
Molecule: long non-coding RNA, 669 nt
Organism: Oncorhynchus tshawytscha (Chinook salmon)
Lineage: Eukaryota; Metazoa; Chordata; Actinopteri; Salmoniformes; Salmonidae
Source: Ensembl